CUCACCGAGGACAAGGUCGCACAUAGGCAGCACACGACGAGGCGCGGACGCGGCAGGAAUUCCAGCUCCGGCGAGAAAUUCAAGGCGAAAGCACGAGUGCUUUCCCCCAAUAGCGCCAAGGGAACCUUCGCCUCACCCAGAAGAAGCCUCCCCACCGACGCAAUUGGCCGGAGCGCCUAUGGUUUCGAGUUCCACGGCGGCGGUGAAUCUCACCCGCGCGGUGCACGGCAACGCAGUGGUGGUGGUUUUUGGCUUCUCAGGAUGAUUAUGGCUUUAUGGGUCAGGAGCAUGCAUCAGGCUCCAAAU
RNAcentral lists this long non-coding RNA (306 nucleotides) under Zea mays. RNAcentral's name for it is "long non-coding RNA NONZMAT002418". Lineage: Eukaryota; Viridiplantae; Streptophyta; Magnoliopsida; Poales; Poaceae. The record is from RNAcentral.